This 20-nucleotide non-coding RNA is filed under the name Arabidopsis thaliana (thale cress). The record is from RNAcentral. Lineage: Eukaryota; Viridiplantae; Streptophyta; Magnoliopsida; Brassicales; Brassicaceae.
UCUCCACCUAUUGCCAAUUA